AUGCACACGUUGAGUCUGGGGUUCUGUCCCUGGGCGCCGAACCAGCCGGGGACAUGGCCCCCGGAGAGCUGCAGACCCCGGGGCUGGGGCAGUGCUCUGGGGAGGAUCCUGCCACCAGGUGGCGCUUCUCGGCCAGCCCAGGCCCAGGCCGCAGGGCCUGUUACUCCCAUUGCAGUUCUGCAGGUGAGAAAAGGAAGCUCCGAGUGCAUAUAUAGUAACUUGGAGAAAGUCGCAAGGGACGAAGGACCCUUCCCCGGACACAGGAAGCUUCUGGGGGAUGGGGACAGGGACUCAGGUGCAGAGAAAACCAGAGCUGCCACCGUGGGGACAGGGAAAGGGAGUCCACCCAGAGACAGCAGAGGCAGGAGCUGCCCUCCCUUCGCUCUCCGUGGCCCUGAGCGAGGGGCUGCCACCACCCAGAGCCUGGGAACCAGGGGCCAGUGCCUGGGGAUGGAGGCCAUGGUGGAGACAGGCCGGGGAGGAUGUGGCGGAGACAGAGGGAGGCCCAGGUCAGCUGGCACAGGGCAAGCAGCAGGUGAGCCGACCCCAGGGCCUUGCCCCCUUCCCAUGUUCACGCCCCCUCCCGUGUUCCUGCUGGCCCCCUUCCUGCUCUGUGAGGUCAACACGCAGGGGAACGGGGCAGAAGGGAAGUUCUCCCCACGCCCAGGGCUCUGCUCACUUGGGCCAGGGGUUGGAGGGUGGUCAUGGCACCAGGGCUGCUCUGAGCUACAGCCCCGAGGGGGGCCGGGCGAUGCCUCCUCCGUGCCAGGCUGUGUCAGGGCCCCCGGGAACCCCCAAGUCCCUGCCUCUGACCUCUGCAGAGCCCAGCAGGCGCCUCCCCGCCCUCGGCCACAGGCUCGGAGCUCGCGGCCCCCAGGGGGCGCUCAAGGACUGCUCAUCUGCGCGGCUCGGUCCGCCCGCUGCGCUCCUGCAGCCGCUGCUCCCCGCAGCCGUGGGCCGCACUGGCCCGGAGGACGAGGCGCUGCGCUGCGGGGAGGAAGAGAAACUAAAGGGGGAGACCGAGAACCCAGGGUCAGGAAGCUGAGAGCUAAAAUGACAACCGUGGGUCAGCGGCCCGCAACUUCAUUUCAUGACCUCUGGCCUCCAAAGCCGCUCUGCAAAGUGGUCAGUGCUCCUCAUUUUAUAGAUGAAGAUACUGAGGACCAGGGAGGCUGUGCACUGCCUGAGGUCACACGACUGCUGGGGCGGCGGGCGGGUCUGUCCGCAGGCGAUUGUACUCCAGGCACACGGCGGGGUAGAGCUUGGAAGUGGCCCGGGUGGGUGUCCCUGGGUGUGGAUGGAGUGACCCUGGAGCCACGUGGAGCCACGUUCAGACCCAGAGCUGAGCAGGACAGUGACCAGUAG
Molecule: long non-coding RNA, 1365 nt
Filed under: Macaca fascicularis (crab-eating macaque)
Lineage: Eukaryota; Metazoa; Chordata; Mammalia; Primates; Cercopithecidae
Description: lncRNA (ENSMFAG00000049081.1)
Source: RNAcentral